Rhincodon typus (whale shark) is the source of this 141-nucleotide small nuclear RNA. RefSeq annotates it as U4 spliceosomal RNA. NCBI's taxonomy places the organism in Eukaryota, Metazoa, Chordata, Chondrichthyes, Orectolobiformes, Rhincodontidae. The record is from RefSeq and is a predicted model, not a curated record. The transcript has a single exon.
AGCUUUGCGCAGUGGCGGUAUUGCAGCUUAUGAGGUUGAACCAAGGCACGGUUAUUGCUUAUUGAAAACUUUACCCUAUAUCUUGCUGUGCUGAUUUGCAAUCUAAUUAGUCAUAGCAAUUUUUGAUGAUCUCUGCAGAGC